GCCUGUCUUCCGUUUGGCUUCCUGAACAGAUUUCUGAUCUCUGCUGUUGGCUUGUUUGCAGUUUUAUCUCUGGCUUUUUCUUUUGCUGCUCCUGAUGGUAAUGAAAGGCCUGAGAACCAGAAAUUUCUGCAGUAGCAGAAGAGAAUUAUGUGGGAGAAUCUAAAGCUUCUUGAUCUUGUGGCCAUAAUUGGAUGCAAGAAUGCUAAUGAACAAUGACACUAAUACAAAGUGUUCUUGGAGACCUGGGACAAAACUGCUCUUGUUCCAGGAUCAUUUGACUGGACGGUCCAGAGGAGCUUGCGUGUGCUGGUGUCUGAGGUCUCCAUACCGGGAUGAGUUUCUGCAGAUCCCUCAGGGAUGAUCCUCUGGCCUGCUCUAUUCUGCAACUGGUAAUGGAAGCUUCCUGUGGAAGUGCUUCAUGCCACAGUCCUGUGUGGUUUCCCAUGUCUCUGUUUCGAAGUUCAAGGCUUGAGGACAUGCAGUGAAAGGUAAUUAUUGGUCCUGUUUUUUAAUAUCGUCUUCAGGUCAGUGGGAGUUAUGGGAACAAUCUUGUUCUCUGCCUUUGUGCUGUAGAGCAAGGACUUAUGAAAGGAAGAUUGACUUAGCUGAUUGUUUCCAUGUACUUCAGACUUCUGGUGUAAGCCACAUGGAACUUGUAAGGUAUCCAAACCCCAUGUGACAGCUUUGUCCUGUAUUGGGAAACUGAUUUGUAAAAA
Molecule: long non-coding RNA, 716 nt
Organism: Nothoprocta perdicaria
Lineage: Eukaryota; Metazoa; Chordata; Aves; Tinamiformes; Tinamidae
Exons: 3
Source: RefSeq, a predicted model, not a curated record